Long non-coding RNA from Symphalangus syndactylus (siamang), 1121 nucleotides. RefSeq lists it as uncharacterized. Lineage: Eukaryota; Metazoa; Chordata; Mammalia; Primates; Hylobatidae. The record is from RefSeq and is a predicted model, not a curated record.
UGCUCUGCCCGCCUCGGCCUCUUGAGGUGCUGGGACUGCAGACGGAGGCUCGCUCAUUCGGUGCUCGGUGUUGCCGGGGCUGGAGUGCAGUGGUGUGGUCUUGGCUCGCUGCAGCCUCCGCCGCCCAGCCGCCUGCCUUGGCCUCCCAGGGUGCUGGGAUUGCAGCCUCUGCCCGGCCGCCGCCCCGUCUGGGAGGUGGGGAUCGUCUCUGCCUGGCUGCCCAUCGUCUGGGUUAUGAGGAGCUCCUCAGCCCGGCCGCCCCGUCUGGGAGGUGAGGAGCGCCUCUGCCCAGCCGCCACCCCGUCUAGGAAGUGAGGGAUGUCUCUGCCUGGCCGCCCCGUCUGGGAGGUGAGGAGCGCCUCUGCCCAGCCGCCACCCCGUCUAGGAAGUGAGGGACGUCUCUGCCUGGCCGCCCCGUCUGGGAUGUUAGGAGCGCCUCUGCCCGGCCGCCCCGUCUGCGAGGUGAGGAGCGACUCUGCCCGGCCGCCCCGUCUGGGAAGUUAGGAGCCCCUCUGUGCGGCCGCCCCGUCUGGGAAGUGAGGAGCACCUCUGCCCGGCCGCCCCGUCUGGGAGGUCUACCACAGAGGCCGGAAGCAAUGUGGGGGCUGGAUGUGGUAGCUCACGCCUGUAGUCUCAGUACUCUGGGAGGCUGAGGUGGGUUGAUCACUUGAGGCUAGGAGCUCGAGACCAGCCUGGCCAACAUGGCGAAACAUAUGAAAAAUACAACUGUCAAACCAACCAACGAACCAAGUGACAACAAAACAGGUGAAGCAAUAGAGCCAAAGGUCUAAUUUACAGGUGACUCUUGGUUUGAAAUCUAAUUGAUUCCUGGGGAGCCAUGACAAAUUGAACCACUGUAAGACAACUCUCAUUUUCUAUGAAGAAACUGUGGCCCAGAGAGGUGAAACAACCCAGCCGAUGUCACGUAGCUAAGAUGACAGCCAUUGGCCUGUAUCUCAGCCCUCAAGUUUCCCAUUCAAUGUGCUUCCUACUAUUCAUUGUUGCCCGGCCUCUAGGUAAGUCUUCUGUAAUUUACAUGCUUGUUGAAAGGAUCUGUUUCUGUUUUUUCCUCCUCCCAGUUUGUUGAAGCCCAUGGUGAACUGAGAAAUGGAAGUGGCGCC